This 164-nucleotide non-coding RNA is filed under the name uncultured Angelakisella sp. RNAcentral's name for it is "Lysine riboswitch". It matches the Rfam family "Lysine riboswitch aptamer". From Rfam's summary of the family: Riboswitches are metabolite binding domains within certain messenger RNAs that serve as precision sensors for their corresponding targets. Allosteric rearrangement of mRNA structure is mediated by ligand binding, and this results in modulation of gene expression. This family includes riboswitches that sense lysine in a number of genes involved in lysine metabolism, including lysC. Lineage: Bacteria; Bacillati; Bacillota; Clostridia; Eubacteriales; Oscillospiraceae. The record is from RNAcentral.
UUUGGUAGAGGUCGCGGGUUUCAUUAGUAUCUGCCCCAUACGGCGCGGGACGCCGGAGCAGAGAAAGGGAAAACCGCCGAAGUGAAAAGCUCCCCCGAGAGACUUUUUGCUGGGACGCAGCAGAAUAUGCUGCGGACUGUCACAGAAACUGUGGAGAGCUAUCA